Molecule: ribosomal RNA, 263 nt
Filed under: Alphaproteobacteria bacterium
Lineage: Bacteria; Pseudomonadati; Pseudomonadota; Alphaproteobacteria
Description: partial 16S ribosomal RNA
Rfam family: Bacterial small subunit ribosomal RNA
Source: RNAcentral
UCAAACCUGAGAGUUUGAUCCUGGCUCAGAACGAACGCUGGCGGCAUGCUUAACACAUGCAAGUCGAACGAGAUCUUCGGAUCUAGUGGCGCACGGGUGAGUAACGCGUGGGAACCUACCAUUCUGUACGGAAUAACGUCUGGAAACGGACGCUAAUACCGUAUACGCCCUGUGGGGGAAAGGUCCGCCGCAGAAUGAGGGGCCCGCGUCCGAUUAGCUUGUUGGUGAGGUAAUGGCUUACCAAGGCGACGAUCGGUAGCUGG